GAUGAACGCUGGCGGCGUGCUUAACACAUGCAAGUCGAACGGGAAUUAUUUUAUUGAAACUUCGGUCGAUUUAAUUUAAUUCUAGUGGCGGACGGGUGAGUAACGCGUGGGUAACCUGCCUUAUACAGGGGGAUAACAGUCAGAAAUGGCUGCUAAUACCGCAUAAGCGCACAGAGCUGCAUGGCUCAGUGUGAAAAACUCCGGUGGUAUAAGAUGGACCCGCGUUGGAUUAGCUGGUUGGUGGGGUAACGGCCCACCAAGGCGACGAUCCAUAGCCGGCCUGAGAGGGUGAACGGCCACAUUGGGACUGAGACACGGCCCAGAAUCCUACGGGAGGCAGCAGUGGGGAAUAUUGCACGAUGGGGGAAACCCUGAUGCAGCGACGCCGCGUGAAGGAAGAAGUAUCUCGGUAUGUAAACUUCUAUCAGCAGGGAAGAUAGUGACGGUACCUGACUAAGAAGCCCCGGCUAACUACGUG
RNAcentral lists this ribosomal RNA (478 nucleotides) under uncultured bacterium. RNAcentral describes it as "partial 16S ribosomal RNA". It matches the Rfam family "Bacterial small subunit ribosomal RNA", at positions 28 to 507 of the family's 1533-position model. The record is from RNAcentral.